Molecule: ribosomal RNA, 217 nt
Filed under: Glomeromycotina sp.
Lineage: Eukaryota; Fungi; Glomeromycota
Description: partial small subunit ribosomal RNA
Rfam family: Eukaryotic small subunit ribosomal RNA (bases 40-217)
Source: RNAcentral
GGGUCAGUAGGUUGGUCGUGCCACCGGUACGUACUGGUCUCACUGAUUCCUCCUUCCUGAAGAACCGUAAUGCCAUUAAUUUGGUGUUGCGGGGAAACAGGACUGUUACUUUGGAAAAAAUUAGAGUGUUUAAAGCAAGCUAACGCUUGAAUACAUUAGCAUGGAAUAAUGAAAUAGGACGAUCGAUCCUAUUUUGUUGGUUUCUAGGAUUGACGUA